This 927-nucleotide ribosomal RNA is filed under the name Chloroflexi bacterium ET7. RNAcentral's name for it is "bacterial SSU rRNA". It matches the Rfam family "Bacterial small subunit ribosomal RNA", at positions 79 to 1021 of the family's 1533-position model. Lineage: Bacteria; Bacillati; Chloroflexota. The record is from RNAcentral.
GCAAUACUCUUGAAAGUGGCGCACGGGUGAGUAACACGUAGGUAACCUGCCCUGGAGCGGGGGAUAACAGUUGGAAACGGCUGCUAAUACCGCAUGAGACUGGGAGGCCGGGAGGUCUUCUGGUGAAAAUCUUGGUGCUUCAGGAGGGGCCUGCGGCCGAUUAGCUAGUUGGUGGGGUAAAGGCCUACCAAGGCGACGAUCGGUAGCUGGUCUGAGAGGACGAUCAGCCACACGGGAACUGAGACACGGUCCCGACUCCUACGGGGGGCAGCAGUGAGGAAUAUUGGGCAAUGGGCGAAAGCCUGACCCAGCAACGCCGCGUGGAGGAAGACGGCCUUCGGGUUGUAAACUCCUUUUACGGGGGAAGAGGAAGGACGGUACCCCGAGAAUAAGUCACGGCUAACUACGUGCCAGCAGCCGCGGUAAUACGUAGGUGACAAGCGUUAUCCGGAAUUACUGGGCGUAAAGCGCACGCAGGCGGCGCAUUAAGUCUGACGUGAAAUCUCUCGGCUUAACCGGGAGGGGUCGUUGGAGACUGAUGUGCUUGAGGCGAUGAGAGGGGUGUAGAAUUCCCGGUGUAGUGGUGGAAUGCGUAGAUAUCGGGAGGAAUACCAGUGGCGAAAGCGGCACCCUGGCAUUGGCCUGACGCUCAUGUGCGAAGGCGUGGGGAGCGAACGGGAUUAGAUACCCCGGUAGUCCACGCGGUAAACGAUGAGUACUAGGUGUGGGUGGAGUGAAAUCCAUCUGUGCCGAAGCAAACGCGCUAAGUACUCCGCCUGGGGAGUACGGCCGCAAGGCUAAAACUCAAAGGAAUUGACGGGGGCCCGCACAAGCAGCGGAGCGUGUGGUUUAUUUCGAUGCACACGAAGAACCUUACCUGGGUUUGACAUCUGCGUAGUAGUGGAACCGAAAGGGGAACGACUCUUC